This 447-nucleotide ribosomal RNA is filed under the name uncultured bacterium. Its description in RNAcentral is "bacterial SSU rRNA". It matches the Rfam family "Bacterial small subunit ribosomal RNA", at positions 355 to 825 of the family's 1533-position model. The record is from RNAcentral.
UGGGGAAUCUUGGACAAUGGGCGCAAGCCUGAUCCAGCCAUGCCGCGUGAGUGAAGAAGGCCUUCGGGUUGUAAAGCUCUUUUACCAGGGACGAUAAUGACGGUACCUGGAGAAUAAGCCCCGGCAAACUUCGUGCCAGCAGCCGCGGUAAUACGAAGGGGGCUAGCGUUGUUCGGAAUUACUGGGCGUAAAGGGCGCGUAGGCGGCAAUUCAAGUCAUCUGUGAAAUCUCCGGGCUUAACUCGGAACGGUCAGAUGAUACUGCUUUGCUAGAGUGCAGAAGGGGCAAUCGGAAUUCUUGGUGUAGCGGUGAAAUGCGUAGAUAUCAAGAGGAACACCUGAGGUGAAGACGGGUUGCUGGGCUGACACUGACGCUGAGGCACGAAAGCAUGGGGAGCAAAAGGGAUUAGAUACCCUGGUAGUCCCUGAGCGGGCUGGCAAGGCGCAU